This 235-nucleotide ribosomal RNA is filed under the name uncultured bacterium. RNAcentral's name for it is "partial 16S ribosomal RNA". It matches the Rfam family "Bacterial small subunit ribosomal RNA", at positions 96 to 334 of the family's 1533-position model. The record is from RNAcentral.
UGGCGGACGGGUGAGUAAUGUCUGGGAAACUGCCCGAUGGAGAGGGAUAACUACUGGAAACGGUAGCUAAUACCGCAUAACGUCGCAAGACCAAAGAGGGGGACCUUCGGGCCUCGCGCCAUCAGAUGAACCCAUAUGGGAUUAGCUUGUAGGUAAGGUAACGGCUUACCUAGGCGACGAUCCCUAGCUGGUCUGAGAGGAUGACCAGCCACACCGGAACUGAGACGCGGUCCAG